UACGGGAUGAAGCCCAUAUGGUGAAGAA
This 28-nucleotide non-coding RNA is filed under the name Rattus norvegicus (Norway rat). Lineage: Eukaryota; Metazoa; Chordata; Mammalia; Rodentia; Muridae. The record is from RNAcentral.